AGAGUUUGAUCAUGGCUCAGGACGAACGCUGGCGGCGUGCUUAACACAUGCAAGUCGAACGAAGAGCGAUGGAAGCUUGCUUCUAUCAAUCUUAGUGGCGAACGGGUGAGUAACGCGUAAUCAACCUGCCCUUCAGAGGGGGACAACAGUUGGAAACGACUGCUAAUACCGCAUACGAUCUAAUCUCGGCAUCGAGGAUGGAUGAAAGGUGGCCUCUAUUUAUAAGCUAUCACUGAAGGAGGGGAUUGCGUCUGAUUAGCUAGUUGGAGGGGUAACGGCCCACCAAGGCGAUGAUCAGUAGCCGGUCUGAGAGGAUGAACGGCCACAUUGGGACUGAGACACGGCCCAGACUCCUACGGGAGGCAGCAGUGGGGAAUCUUCCGCAAUGGACGAAAGUCUGACGGAGCAACGCCGCGUGAGUGAUGACGGCCUUCGGGUUGUAAAGCUCUGUUAAUCGGGACGAAAGGCCUUCUUGCGAAUAGUUAGAAGGAUUGACGGUACCGGAAUAGAAAGCCACGGCUAACUACGUGCCAGCA
RNAcentral lists this ribosomal RNA (536 nucleotides) under uncultured Veillonella sp. RNAcentral describes it as "bacterial SSU rRNA". It matches the Rfam family "Bacterial small subunit ribosomal RNA", at positions 8 to 513 of the family's 1533-position model. Lineage: Bacteria; Bacillati; Bacillota; Negativicutes; Veillonellales; Veillonellaceae. The record is from RNAcentral.